Schistosoma mattheei is the source of this 45-nucleotide non-coding RNA. NCBI's taxonomy places the organism in Eukaryota, Metazoa, Platyhelminthes, Trematoda, Strigeidida, Schistosomatidae. The record is from Rfam.
AUUCAGUUGAUGAAUCUUAAAUAGGACGAAACAUACGUCUUGAAU